CGCGCGAAGGUUCCCUCAGGCUGAUUGGAAACCAGCCGUAGAGUGUAAAGGCAUAAGGGAGCUUGACUGCGAGACCUACAAGUCGAGCAGAGACGAAAGUCGGUCUUAGUGAUCCGGCGGUUCCGCAUGGAAGGGCCAUCGCUCAACGGAUAAAAGGUACGCCGGGGAUAACAGGCUUAUCUCCCCCAAGAGUCCAUAUCGACGGGGAGGUUUGGCACCUCGAUGUCGGCUCAUCGCAUCCUGGGGCUGGAGCAGGUCCCAAGGGUUCGGCUGUUCGCCGAUUAAAGCGGUACGUGAGCUGGGUUUAAAACGUCGUGAGACAGUUUGGUCCCUAUCUGCCGUGGGCGCAGGAUAUUUGAGGGGAGCUGUCCCUAGUACGAGAGGACCGGGAUGGACGAACCUCUGGUGUACCAGUUGUCGCGCCAGCGGCACCGCUGGGUAGCUAUGUUCGGAAGGGAUAACCGCUGAAAGCAUCUAAGCGGGAAGCCCACCCCAAGAUAAGAUAUCCCCUCUCUCUCGCUUCGGCGGGAGAGGCUGAAGGCCCCUCGUAGACUACGAGGUUGAUAGGUCGGGUGUGUAAGCACAGUAAUGUGUUCAGCUAACCGAUACUAAUUGGCCGUGCGGCUUGACCAUA
RNAcentral lists this ribosomal RNA (634 nucleotides) under Gammaproteobacteria bacterium. RNAcentral's name for it is "partial 23S ribosomal RNA". It matches the Rfam family "Bacterial large subunit ribosomal RNA", at positions 2307 to 2925 of the family's 2925-position model. Lineage: Bacteria; Pseudomonadati; Pseudomonadota; Gammaproteobacteria. RNAcentral also lists the same sequence under 2 other names. The record is from RNAcentral.